GACGAACGCUGGCGGCGUGCCUAAUACAUGCAAGUAGAACGCUGAAGGAGGAGCUUGCUUCUCCGGAUGAGUUGCGAACGGGUGAGUAACGCGUAGGUAACCUGCCUGGUAGCGGGGGAUAACUAUUGGAAACGAUAGCUAAUACCGCAUAAGAGUAGAUGUUGCAUGACAUUUGCUUAAAAGGUGCAAUUGCAUCACUACCAGAUGGACCUGCGUUGUAUUAGCUAGUUGGUGGGGUAACGGCUCACCAAGGCGACGAUACAUAGCCGACCUGAGAGGGUGAUCGGCCACACUGGGACUGAGACACGGCCCAGCUCUCCUACGGGAGGCAGCAGUAGGGAAUCUUCGGCAAUGGACGGAAGUCUGACCGAGCAACGCCGCGUGAGUGAAGAAGGUUUUCGGAUCGUAAAGCUCUGUUGUAAGAGAAGAACGAGUGUGAGAGUGGAAAGUU
Molecule: ribosomal RNA, 451 nt
Filed under: Streptococcus mitis
Lineage: Bacteria; Bacillati; Bacillota; Bacilli; Lactobacillales; Streptococcaceae
Description: bacterial SSU rRNA
Rfam family: Bacterial small subunit ribosomal RNA
Source: RNAcentral